RNAcentral lists this ribosomal RNA (405 nucleotides) under Triticum aestivum (bread wheat). Its description in RNAcentral is "partial small subunit ribosomal RNA". The record is from RNAcentral. Lineage: Eukaryota; Viridiplantae; Streptophyta; Magnoliopsida; Poales; Poaceae.
AUGGAAAAGAGGGUCCUCGAUGACAUAGCAGAAAUCUGGGAAAGCAGACAAGAUUCAAAACAGAGUGACAGAGUAAUAUUAGGCCCAAACUUUGCAGAGAUAUUCAUUCCAAUGGAGAAGCAUGACCGCUAUGUACUAUAUGUGCUGGACAAAUACAAACACAAAGUUCACAUUAUUGAUCCUCGAGAAACGACUCCAGAGGAAUUUGAGAAAGAAAAGAUAGACAUGGAUAAAUUGGAUCCAAAAGAAGCAUCUCGAGUUCUUCAGGAAAAUGAAGAUGCUAAAAAAGAAAGAGAAAGACAGUUUCAGGAAUAUCAUGUUCAUAAGUCGGCAAUCGUACCUAGGUUUAAAGAAGUCUUCAACACCAUACUUGAACAAACAAUGAAUCCAAACAAAACAAGAUGA